This 377-nucleotide ribosomal RNA is filed under the name uncultured eukaryote. Its description in RNAcentral is "partial 18S ribosomal RNA". It matches the Rfam family "Eukaryotic small subunit ribosomal RNA", at positions 592 to 976 of the family's 1831-position model. The record is from RNAcentral.
CAAUAGCGUAUAUUUAAGUUGCUGCAGUUAAAAAGCUCGUAGUUGGAUUUCGGGUGGGAAUGGCCGGUCCGCCGUUUCGGUGUGCACUUGCUACGCCCACCUUGCUGCCGGGGACGUGCUCUUGAGUUCACGCUCGGGACACGGAGUCGGCGAGGUUACUUUGAGUAAAUUAGAGUGUUCAAAGCAGGCCUACGCUCUGAAUACAUUAGCAUGGAAUAACACGAUAGGACUCUGGCCUAUCUUGUUGGUCUGUAGGACCGGAGUAAUGAUUAAGAGGGACAGUCGGGGGCAUUCGUAUUGCAUUGUCAGAGGUGAAAUUCUUGGAUUUAUGAAAGACGAACUACUGCGAAAGCAUUUGCCAAGGAUGUUUUCAUUAA